GCCGCCUGGGAAGUACGAGCGCAAGCUUAAAACUCAAAGGAAUAGGCGGGAAUUUGCACAAGCAGUGGAUCAUGUGGUUCAAUUCGACACUGAGCGAGGAACCUCACCAGGGCUUGAAAUUCUAGUGUAAGCCUUAGGAAACUAAGGCCCCCGCAAGGCACUAGGACAGGUGCUGCACGGCUGUCGUCAGCUCGUCAUGUGAAUGGUUUCCUUAAGUGGAUUAACGAGCGCAACCCCUAUUGUCUGUUAUACGUGUCAGACGAGACUGCUCCGGUAACGGAGAGGAAGGUGGGGAUGACGUCAAGUCAGCGUGGCCCUUUGAUGCCCUGGGCUACACACAUGAUACAAUGGGUGUUACAAUGGGUCGCUAAGCCGCGAGGCGGAGCUAAUCCCAUCAAAGGCACCCUCAGUUCGGAUAGGAGGCUGAAACUUGCCUCCUUGAAGCUGGAAUUGCUAGUAAUCGCUGAUCAGAACGCAGCGGUGAAUACGUUCUCAAAUUUUGCACUCACAAUAAAAGCGCCUGGCAGGUUAUGCCCGUCAACUCAAGGGAGCCGGUAAUACCUGAAGAUCCAUGUUUACACGUGGGGACACGGUAGGAUCGGUAACAGGGAGUAAGUCGUAACAAGGCAAGGCUAGCGGAAGCUGGUCUUGGAUCACCUCCUU
RNAcentral lists this ribosomal RNA (663 nucleotides) under Candidatus Yanofskybacteria bacterium GW2011_GWA2_44_9. Its description in RNAcentral is "bacterial SSU rRNA". It matches the Rfam family "Bacterial small subunit ribosomal RNA", at positions 868 to 1532 of the family's 1533-position model. Lineage: Bacteria; Candidatus Yanofskyibacteriota. The record is from RNAcentral.